GCUGGAUGUGUGGCACGCAUCUGUAAUCCUGCUUAUGGUAGGCUUGAUAGUGUGGAUGAUUUUAGACGAGGAUUCCUACUUAAUAACCGUGUAUGUUGAUCAGGCGUCCGCCCUAAGCUCGGCAUCAACAUGGACCCAUUGAAGGAAUUUAAUAGGUGCAGGUUAGCUAAGGAGGAGCAAAACGGGACAGGAAGGAAACUUAGCAGCCAAAAGUUCCCGUUUCGAGCAGUAGUAGGAUUGCGCCCGUGAAUGUACGAAAUGAAUUAGCCUCGACGAAACAGUCAAACCUCUUUCUUU
Molecule: non-coding RNA, 297 nt
Organism: Daphnia magna
Lineage: Eukaryota; Metazoa; Arthropoda; Branchiopoda; Diplostraca; Daphniidae
Rfam family: Metazoan signal recognition particle RNA
About the family: The signal recognition particle (SRP) is a universally conserved ribonucleoprotein. It is involved in the co-translational targeting of proteins to membranes.
Source: Rfam